AUGAACGCUGGCGGCGUGCCUAAUACAUGCAAGUCGAAUGGGUUAGACCCAUGGCGAACGGGUGAGUAACGCGUAGGAACAUGCUCCGAAGUCGAGGAUAACCAGCCGAAAGGUUGGCUAAAACCCGAUAUACCGCAAGGUGAAAGUUUACGCUUCGGAAGUGGCCUGCGUCCUAUCAGCUAGUUGGUGAGGUAACGGCUUACCAAGGCGAUGACUGGUAACUGGUCUGAGAGGACGACCAGUCACAGUGGGACUGAGACACGGCCCACACUCCUACGGGAGGCAGCAGUAGGGAAUUGUCGGCAAUGGGCGAAAGCCUGACCGCGCGACGCCGCGUGGAGGAAGAAGGCCUUCGGGUUGUAAACUUCUUUUAUGGGGGACGAUUAUGACGGUACCUCAUGAAUAAGGGGCUGCUAACUACGU
This 423-nucleotide ribosomal RNA is filed under the name uncultured bacterium. RNAcentral describes it as "bacterial SSU rRNA". It matches the Rfam family "Bacterial small subunit ribosomal RNA", at positions 29 to 506 of the family's 1533-position model. The record is from RNAcentral.